GACGAACGCUGGCGGCGUGCUUAAUACAGGCAAUUCGUACGGUAAGGCCCUUUCGUGGGUACACGAGUGGCUGACGGGUGAGUAACACUUGAGUAACCUGCCCACAACUUUUGGAUAACGCUAGGAAACUGGUGCUAAUACUCGAAAUAUGCUUCUUCUGCAUGGUGGUGUUUGGAAAGCUCCUUCGGUUGUUGAUCGACUCGCGGCCUAUGAGCUUGUUGGUGGGGGAGUGGCCUACCAAGCCGGCGACGGGUAGCCGGACUAUGAGGGUGAACGGACACAUAGGGACUGAAAUACGGCCCAGAAUCAUAAGGGAGGCAGCAGUGGGGAAUAUUGAACAAGCGACGAAAGCCUGAUGAAGAAACGCCGCGUGCGGGAUGACGGUCUUCGGGUUGUAAAACGCUUUCAGCAGGGAAGAAGCUUUUUGUGACGGUACCUAAAGAAGAAGCACCGGCUAACUACGUG
RNAcentral lists this ribosomal RNA (465 nucleotides) under uncultured bacterium. RNAcentral describes it as "partial 16S ribosomal RNA". It matches the Rfam family "Bacterial small subunit ribosomal RNA", at positions 28 to 507 of the family's 1533-position model. The record is from RNAcentral.